UUACUGGGCGUAAAGGGCGUGUAGGCUGUUAGGUAAGUCAGAGGUGAAAUCCCUAAGCUCAACUUAGGAACUGCCUUUGAUACUAUCUAACUAGAGAUCGAGAGAAGUUGGCGGAAUUCCAAGUGUAGAGGUGAAAUUCGUAGAUAUUUGGAAGAACACCAGUGGCGAAAGCGGCCAACUGGCUCGUAUCUGACGCUGAGACGCGAAAGCGUGGGUAGCAAACAGGAUUAGAUACCCUGGUAGUCCACGCCGUAAACGAUGUGUGCUAGCCGUUUGUGAUUUAUCACAAGUGGUGCAGCUAACGCGUUAAGCACACCGCCUGGGGAGUACGAUCGCAAGAUUAAAACUCAAAGGAAUUGACGGGGGCCCGCACAAGCGGUGGAGCAUGUGGUUUAAUUCGACGCAACGCGAAGAACCUUACCAGGUCUUGACAUCCUGACUAUGGUUGUUAGAAAUAACUUCCUUCAGCUCGGCUGGGUCAGUGACAGGUGCUGCAUGGCU
RNAcentral lists this ribosomal RNA (501 nucleotides) under uncultured Rickettsiales bacterium. RNAcentral describes it as "bacterial SSU rRNA". It matches the Rfam family "Bacterial small subunit ribosomal RNA", at positions 551 to 1050 of the family's 1533-position model. Lineage: Bacteria; Pseudomonadati; Pseudomonadota; Alphaproteobacteria; Rickettsiales. The record is from RNAcentral.